GAGUAAAGAAGAGAGAGAAAGAAGGAGAAAGGAAAAUAGGAAGAAGAAGAAGGGGAAGUUGGCUGUAGAGCUUCACCGGAGCUGGGUCUUGGUAUUUCGAGCCCAAAUUUAUGAUCAGCUCAUUGAGAUCUUCGAUUUGAGGAUUUGGAAAGAGUGUGGGUGAAGAUCUAAAGUAUUUGGAGGUUCUUGACCAAAAGAAGUGAAAUUUGGGGUUUCGUUGGUGUUCUUAAAGAAGAGGUUACACUCAAUAUACACGUACCCACACAUUAGAUCUUUUUCGUAUUAGGUACAAG
Long non-coding RNA from Macadamia integrifolia, 293 nucleotides. RefSeq lists it as uncharacterized. The record is from RefSeq and is a predicted model, not a curated record. Lineage: Eukaryota; Viridiplantae; Streptophyta; Magnoliopsida; Proteales; Proteaceae. The transcript has 3 exons.